This 492-nucleotide ribosomal RNA is filed under the name uncultured bacterium. RNAcentral's name for it is "partial 16S ribosomal RNA". It matches the Rfam family "Bacterial small subunit ribosomal RNA", at positions 29 to 507 of the family's 1533-position model. The record is from RNAcentral.
AGUGAACGCUGGCGGUAGGCCUAACAUAUGCAAGUCGAACGGCAGCACAGUAAGAGCUUGCUCUUACGGGUGGCGAGUGGCGGACGGGUGGGGAAUACAUCGGAAUCUACUUUUUCGUGGGGGAUAACGUAGGGAAACUUACGCUAAUACCGCAUACGACCUACGGGUGAAAGCAGGGGAUCUUCGGACCUUGCGCGAUUGAAUGAGCCGAUGUCGGAUUAGCUAGUUGGCGGGGUAAAGGCCCACCAAGGCGACGAUCCGUAGCUGGUCUGAGAGGAUGAUCAGCCACACUGGAACUGAGACACGGUCCAGACUCCUACGGGAGGCAGCAGUGGGGAAUAUUGGACAAUGGGCGCAAGCCUGAUCCAGCCAUACCGCGUGGGUGAAGAAGGCCUUCGGGUUGUAAAGCCCUUUUGUUGGGAAAGAAAAGCAGCAGGUUAAUACCCCGCUGUUCUGACGGUACCCAAAGAAUAAGCACCGGCUAACUUCGUG